GUGAGCCUGGUAAAAAGCCCUCCUCUCCUGCUCAAUGAAUCUGUGCCCCAUGCAGACAUGGUGCCAGGGCUGUGUGGAGGAGCAAACAUUUCUCUAAUCUCUCCAGGGAUUUUUAAUCUAAGGGGAGAGAUAAAGCAUGUGCACGAUACUUCACAAAGUUUCCAAGGGAAAAUGCAUUGCAGGAGAUAAGCACAGUCUUGCCAGGGCUCUGAAAGCUGAGAGGAGGCACAGAACCUCCUGGCUGGGGGAAGCGUGCUGUGUGUGGUUCUGGCUGGGCUGCUAAGGAACAGGUGAGGAGUCUGACACUAGGAGAGGAGGGAGGAGUCUUCAGUGGUGUUAGAUACUAGAGAGCAACAUGAUCAAGCUUUGCCUGUAGAAGAGUAACUGAGCAUCGUGUGCAGAAUGGAUGAGAGAGAAGCAGCAGAGAGACAGCAAGGCCAUUCAGCAAGCUCAGGUGGCAGGUCCCAUCUGAUGGAGGAGAAUCAAUUCAAGGAGAUGCCCUUCCUUUACAGAACACCCUUUAACAGCAUCCAGGAGGAACGAGAGGCUGCAAUACUGAGGCUUUCAAAGUACUCACGAGGAUGUCCGAGAAUGGCUGUGAUGCCAGGCUUCUGGCAGGUUCCAGACUCCAUCACAAGCCCAGCAUCCCUGCACCAGAUCUGACAUCGCUGCUGUUGUGCCAGCUGUUUAUGAAGGGCCUGAGUAGCUAGCAGGUUUUUAUCAGGAGCCCUGCUGGGGGCUUAGACACCAAAAGAGAAGACUCAUCCUCUGUAGUUCUUCUUGUGAAUGUCCUUUUAGAAAAACAAUUAGAACCAACCACAAGCACCAAAGUCCUAAUGGGAUCUCCUGCGAGCACAUAUCAAGCAGGAUUGUUGCUAUUUCUCCUCACUGGCUCUUUGGACAGACUGUGUGAGCUCCUGGAGGGUUCCACUGUAUCUACCCUUUGACACUGACCAGUUGGCACAUGGUGACAUAUUCCAAUGUGUUGAUUGCAAAUGUGAACGUACAGCCAGUGCUGUGUGCGGGAGGACUCUCUCCUCCUCAGUGGGGCCACACCGUGCACUAUUAAUGGAGCCCCACUCCUUUGCACAGCCUGGCCAUGCAGUGGCUCAUAUUGAGGUUUUAGCCAACUGAAAUCUCCCGUGCAUUUUUCUGACAAGCCAGCUAGGCCUCUGCUAUGCUGUCCUUGUGUCUUUCAUUUGAUGACCUUAAGGGUGGGACUGUUUUAUCUUAAGUUACAGGUGGUCAAGUCCAGCCCAAGGACAGCAACUCUGAGGGUCAAGCCUCAUAGGCUAACUGGAUAGAUGUUCUCUGCUUUGCCACCCACUGGAGCCCGACCUGCCCCACUAAUUUAUAUUUCCCCUGGUCUCAUUUUGUACUUUUUAUUUAUAAUUCACCCUUAAAGUGUAUGUGUCUCUUAUAAGCUGCCUCCGAUCUUUCAUGGUAUGAGGUGGUUACCUAAAUAAAGAAGGAGAUUUGGCCUUUGUUUUUAUGUAACAGGACAGAUUUGCGAGUCUUUGUGAUCUCAUAACAGUUCUCCCAGUU
This 1545-nucleotide long non-coding RNA is filed under the name Homo sapiens (human). RNAcentral describes it as "HSALNT0237177". The record is from RNAcentral. Lineage: Eukaryota; Metazoa; Chordata; Mammalia; Primates; Hominidae.